UCUCUUGUAGCUCAGUUGGUUAGAGCUUCCAUUUCUAAACCGGAAGUCUUGGGAUCGAAUCUCUAUUGAAGAA
RNAcentral lists this transfer RNA (73 nucleotides) under Olea europaea subsp. europaea. It matches the Rfam family "tRNA". Rfam says of the family: Transfer RNA (tRNA) molecules are approximately 80 nucleotides in length. The record is from Rfam by way of RNAcentral. Lineage: Eukaryota; Viridiplantae; Streptophyta; Magnoliopsida; Lamiales; Oleaceae.